AGCGAACGCUGGCGGCAGGCCUAACACAUGCAAGUCGAACGAACUCUUCGGAGUUAGUGGCGGACGGGUGAGUAACACGUGGGAACGUGCCUUUAGGUUCGGAAUAACUCAGGGAAACUUGUGCUAAUACCGAAUGUGCCCUUCGGGGGAAAGAUUUAUCGCCUUUAGAGCGGCCCGGGUCUGAUUAGCUAGUUGGUGAGGUAAAGGCUCACCAAAGCGACGAUCAGGAGCUGGUCUGAGAGGAUGAUCAGAUAAAUUGGGCGGGAGACACGGCCCGAACACCUGCGGGAGGUAGCAGUGGGGAAGCCAGCGCAAUGGGCGAAAGCCUGACGCAGUCAUGCCGCGUGAAUGAUGAAGGUCUGAGGAUAGUAAAAUUCUUUCACCGGGGACGAUAAUGACGGUACCCGGAGAAGAAGCCCCGGCUAACUUCGUGCCAGCCGCCGCCGUAA
Molecule: ribosomal RNA, 449 nt
Filed under: uncultured bacterium
Lineage: Bacteria
Description: partial 16S ribosomal RNA
Rfam family: Bacterial small subunit ribosomal RNA
Source: RNAcentral